RNAcentral lists this ribosomal RNA (460 nucleotides) under uncultured bacterium. Its description in RNAcentral is "partial 16S ribosomal RNA". It matches the Rfam family "Bacterial small subunit ribosomal RNA", at positions 338 to 795 of the family's 1533-position model. The record is from RNAcentral.
CCUACGGGAUGCUGCAGUGAGGAAUAUUGGUCAAUGGACGAGAGUCUGAACCAGCCAAGUAGCGUGCAGGAUGACUGCUCUAUGGGUUGUAAACUUCUUUUAUAUGGGAAUAAAACGUUCCACGUGUGGGAUUUUGCAUGUACCAUAUGAAUAAGGAUCGGCUAACUCCGUGCCAGCGGCCGCGGUACUACGGAGGAUCCGAUCGUUAUCCGGAUUUCUUGGGUGUAAAGGGAGCGUAGGUGGAUUGGUAAGUCAGUUGUGAAAGUUUGCGGUUCAACCGUAAAAUUGCAGUUGAAACUGGCAGUCGUGAGUACAGUAGAGGUGGGCGGAAUUCGUGGUGUAGCGGUGAAAUGCUUAGAUAUCACGAAGAACUGCGAUUGCGAAGGCAGUUCACUGGACUGCAACUGACACUGAGGCUCGAAAGUGUGGGUAUCAAACAGGAUUAGAUACCCGUGUAGUC